This 254-nucleotide ribosomal RNA is filed under the name uncultured bacterium. RNAcentral's name for it is "partial 16S ribosomal RNA". It matches the Rfam family "Bacterial small subunit ribosomal RNA", at positions 524 to 776 of the family's 1533-position model. The record is from RNAcentral.
UACGGAGGAUCCAAGCGUUAUCCGGAAUCAUUGGGUUUAAAGGGUCCGUAGGCGGUUUUAUAAGUCAGUGGUGAAAUCCGGCAGCUUAACUGUCGAACUGCCAUUGAUACUGUAGAACUUGAAUUAUUGUGAAGUAACUAGAAUAUGUAGUGUAGCGGUGAAAUGCUUAGAUAUUACAUGGAAUACCCAUUGCGAAGGCAGGUUACUAACAAUAUAAUUGACGCUGAUGGACGAAAGCGUGGGGAGCGGACAGG